GUCCUUUUAAACCAUUAAACUUGUGUCCACUUAAACUAAUACUAUCUAUGUUAUUGAGAUCCAUUGAAAUUUUGCCGAAUGCUUGAACCGCAUCUACAUGAAAAUGUGCCUUAGGAUAAUUUUUUAUAACUUUAGCCAUUUGUGGAAUAGGCUGU
RNAcentral lists this small RNA (155 nucleotides) under Staphylococcus aureus. RNAcentral's name for it is "Transcript". The record is from RNAcentral. Lineage: Bacteria; Bacillati; Bacillota; Bacilli; Caryophanales; Staphylococcaceae.